Molecule: long non-coding RNA, 1704 nt
Filed under: Brassica rapa (field mustard)
Lineage: Eukaryota; Viridiplantae; Streptophyta; Magnoliopsida; Brassicales; Brassicaceae
Description: long non-coding RNA (BRAP_LNC003223)
Source: RNAcentral
UCCUUACCAUCCUCCUUACUACUACAAAUCGCCACCACCACCAUCUCCGGUUUACUACUACAAGUCACCACCACCACCGGCUCCAACCUAUGUCUACAAAUCUCCACCACCACCAACUCCGACUUACGUCUACAAGUCGCCGCCUCCUCCAACCCCAACAUAUGUCUACAAAUCGCCUCCUCCUCCUACCCCAACAUACGUAUACAAGUCUCCUCCACCACCAACUCCAACUUACGUAUACAAAUCACCACCACCGCCGACUCCAACUUACGUCUACAAGUCGCCUCCUCCACCUACGCCAACCUAUGUCUAUAAAUCUCCACCGCCACCAACCCCGACUUAUGUUUACAAGUCACCACCACCUCCGACUCCGACAUACAUUUACAAGUCUCCACCACCUCCUACUCCGACUUAUGUCUACAAGUCACCACCUCCACCAACCCCUACAUAUGUCUAUAAGUCACCACCUCCACCCACUCCGACCUACGUCUACAAGUCACCACCACCUCCAACUCACACUCCUACACCAUACUACUACCAUUCUCCACCACCACCAGUAAAAUCCCCUCCACCUCCUUAUUACUACCACUCACCACCACCACCGGUUAAAUCUCCACCACCACCAUACUACUAUCAUUCACCACCUCCUCUGGUGAAGUCUCCUCCACCACCAUACUAUUACCAUUCACCACCACCUCCAGUAAAAUCUCCUCCCCCCCCAUACUACUAUCACUCCCCACCUCCUCCAGUGAAGUCUCCUCCGCCACCUUACUAUUAUCACUCCCCACCUCCUCCAGUAAAAUCACCACCACCACCAUAUUAUUACCACUCUCCACCUCCUCCCGUGAAAUCCCCCCCACCUCCAUACUACUACCACUCACCACCCCCUCCGGUAAAAUCACCCCCACCACCAUAUUACUAUCACUCCCCACCUCCACCAGUGAAAUCCCCACCACCACCGUACUACUACCAUUCUCCACCCCCACCGGUAAAAUCUCCGCCACCACCAUACUAUUACCACUCCCCACCUCCUCCGGUGAAAUCUCUACCACCACCGUACUAUUACCAUUCACCACCUCCUCCGGUGAAAUCUCCUCCUCCACCAUACUACUAUCACUCACCUCCUCCACCAGUAAAAUCUCCUCCGCCACCGUACUAUUACCACUCUCCACCUCCUCCAGUGAAGUCGCCUCCACCUCCUUAUUACUACCACUCACCUCCUCCUCCGGUGAAAUCCCCACCACCACCAUAUUAUUACCACUCACCACCCCCACCCGUCAAAUCUCCUCCACCUCCAUAUUAUUACCACUCACCACCUCCUCCGGUGAAAUCUCCACCACCACCAUAUUAUUACCACUCACCUCCUCCUCCGGUGAAAUCUCCACCACCACCAUAUUACUACCAUUCACCUCCCCCUCCAGUCAAAUCUCCACCACCACCAUAUUACUACCAUUCACCUCCCCCUCCAGUGAAAUCCCCACCACCACCAUAUUACUACCAUUCACCACCUCCUCCAGUGAAAUCUCCACCACCACCAUACUACUACAACUCUCCACCACCACCAGUAAAAUCUCCCCCACCUCCCGUCUACAUCUACGCUUCUCCCCCACCUCCUACCCAUUACUAGGCUCGUCAAAUUCAACCAAGUUUCCCCAUUAUUCAAGUAAGUCCCAAGGCUCCAAUAUUCUAAGUAUGCUCCAUAUC